This 568-nucleotide ribosomal RNA is filed under the name uncultured bacterium. Its description in RNAcentral is "partial 16S ribosomal RNA". It matches the Rfam family "Bacterial small subunit ribosomal RNA", at positions 355 to 913 of the family's 1533-position model. The record is from RNAcentral.
UGGGGAAUUUUGGACAAUGGGGGAAACCCUGAUCCAGCCAUCCCGCGUGUGCGAUGAAGGCCUUCGGGUUGUAAAGCACUUUUGGCAGGAAAGAAACGUCGCGGGUUAAUACCCCGCGGAACUGACGGUACCUGCAGAAUAAGCACCGGCUAACUACGUGCCAGCAGCCGCGGUAAUACGUAGGGUGCAAGCGUUAAUCGGAAUUACUGGGCGUAAAGCGUGCGCAGGCGGUUCGGAAAGAAAGAUGUGAAAUCCCAGAGCUUAACUUUGGAACUGCAUUUUUAAACUACCGGGCUAGAGUGUGUCAGAGGGAGGUGGAAUUCCGCGUGUAGCAGUGACGCGUAGAUAUGCGGAGGAACACCGAUGGCGAAGGCAGCCUCCUGGGAUAACACUGACGCUCAUGCACGAAAAGCGUGGGGAGCAAAACAGGAUUAGAUACCCUGGUAGUCCACGCCCUAAAACGAUGUCAACUAGCUGUUGGGGUCUUCGGACCUUGGUAGCGCAGCUAACGCGUGAAGUUGACCGCCUGGGGGUACGGUCGCAAGAUUAAAAAGCUCAAAUGAAUUGA